UAACAGCUGUAUUGAGAUGUCGCCAGUAGGGGGCGAUAUUUUGUCUUUAUAGGAUCUGUUUUCUUUAUUUUGAGGACGGAUGCCCCAGACUCUGCACAGGACCGGAGGACCAUCAGGCCGCUGACCCUGGACAGGGUCCAUACAGAUGAGGCGUCAGGUACCCUGAAAUCAUAUCCUGUGAGCCAGUAUAAGCAGUGACGUAGUUGUUGGAAGAGGAUGAUGAUGAUGAUGAUGAUGAUGAUGCUGAUGAUGUUCUUUGGAGUUUAACCCCAGAACUCUUGUGGAACCAACGGCAUGCAGACGUCUUUGCCACACAUCUUACCCAUACCUGACAGGAAGAGGGCAGUGUGGGAGCAGGUGACUGCAGGCUGGAGCCGACGCUACAGCUGACUUCUUUCUGAGGAACUUCACUGUACUGGCACGCAUUUUCUCCAAAACUACAGUUCCCAGGCUGCAUCAUGGCAGGCUGACUAUGAGACUGGGCUGGGUACAGGCCCUGGUUCGGGCUCUGGUUCUGCAGGUGAGCCUCGUGGCCUCCUGUGGAGCUGUGCUGGAAGUAGGACAGGAAGUCCGGCGAGGAGGUGCCGCUGGCAGACUUUUCUUCUUGUUCCCUCCUCUGAAACAGAACCUCCUCACUGAGGCCCAGCUGGGCAGACAGGUGGGAGAUGUACCUGAUGGUGAGGCGUAGCGUCUCAAUCUUUGUCAGAGUCUGUCCGGCAGGGACCACUGAUGGCGGCAGGUAGGAUCUGAGGUGAUGCAGAGCUUUUGUCAGAUCCCUCAUCCUCAACUUUUCCUUCUCACUUGCACUCUCCCUCUGCUUGCUGCGAACUCGUACCGCCCUGGCAUGGCCCAUCUUCCGACCACGUCUGGGUGGGGAGCAGGUGGAGGACUUGAGGGUCUGAGGGUAUCCGGUUGUGGUGGCCUUGCAAGUGGACUGUGGAGGCUGCUGAUAAGAUGGCGACAGGCUGGAGUCCAUGGAGUGCACAGGGGAGAGAGUUUCUGGAGAGGAGAUGCUGGAGAGCUCAGAGUCGGAGCACCACGGGUACCGCAGGCCGCAGUGGAGCAGAGAGACCGAGGAGGAAUCCAUAUUGUGCUCAAACUGUGAGUGCUGCCCGGAUCCACCGCUGCUUUAUAGGUCCAGGCCCGGCCACAGAGGUGUGAAGUGACACCUCCACAGAUUCUCCCAAAACCACCAGAGUCUGAGGCCCUG
Long non-coding RNA from Thalassophryne amazonica, 1210 nucleotides. RefSeq lists it as uncharacterized. The record is from RefSeq and is a predicted model, not a curated record. The transcript is spliced from 3 exons. Lineage: Eukaryota; Metazoa; Chordata; Actinopteri; Batrachoidiformes; Batrachoididae.